RNAcentral lists this ribosomal RNA (501 nucleotides) under uncultured Desulfobulbus sp. RNAcentral describes it as "bacterial SSU rRNA". It matches the Rfam family "Bacterial small subunit ribosomal RNA", at positions 903 to 1382 of the family's 1533-position model. Lineage: Bacteria; Pseudomonadati; Thermodesulfobacteriota; Desulfobulbia; Desulfobulbales; Desulfobulbaceae. The record is from RNAcentral.
GCCCGCUCAGAAACUACAAAGGAAUUGACGGGGGCCCGCACAAGCGGUGGAGUAUGUGGUUUAAUUCGAUGCAACGCGAAGAACCUUACCUGGUCUUGACAUCCCGGAGACCCUUAGGAAACUAGGGGUGCUUCCAUCUGGAAGAAUCUGGAGACAGGUGCUGCAUGGCUGUCGUCAGCUCGUGUCGUGAGAUGUUGGGUUAAGUCCCGCAACGAGCGCAACCCUUGCCUUUAGUUGCCAGCAGUUCGGCUGGGCACUCUAAAGGGACUGCCGGUGUUAAACCGGAGGAAGGUGGGGAUGACGUCAAGUCCUCAUGGCCUUUAUGACCAGGGCUACACACGUACUACAAUGGCCGAUACAAAGGGCAGCGACACUGCGAGGUGAAGCCAAUCCCGUAAAAUCGGUCUCAGUCCGGAUUGGAGUCUGCAACUCGACUCCACGAAGUUGGAAUCGCUAGUAAUCGUGGAUCAGCAUGCCACGGUGAAUACGUUCCCGGGCCUU